UCGGGAAUUUUGGGCAAUGGGGGAAACCCUGACCCAGCAACGCCGCGUGAAGGAUGAAGUAUUUCGGUAUGUAAACUUCGAAAGAAUAGGAAGAAUAAAUGACGGUACUAUUUAUAAGGUCCGGCUAACUACGUGCCAGCAGCCGCGGUAAUACGUAGGGACCAAGCGUUGUUCGGAUUUACUGGGCGUAAAGGGCGCGUAGGCGGCAUGACAAGUCACUUGUGAAAUCUCUGGGCUUAACCCAGAACGGCCAAGUGAUACUGUCGCGCUAGAGUGCAGAAGGGGCAAUCGGAAUUCUUGGUGUAGCGGUGAAAUGCGUAGAUAUCAAGAGGAACACCGGUGGCGAAGGCGGCAUCCUGGACCGGCAUUGACGCUGAGGAGCGAAAGCCAGGGGAGCAAACGGGAUUAGAUACCCGCGUAGUCCCUGAGCGGGCUGGCAAGGCGCAU
This 447-nucleotide ribosomal RNA is filed under the name uncultured bacterium. RNAcentral describes it as "bacterial SSU rRNA". It matches the Rfam family "Bacterial small subunit ribosomal RNA", at positions 355 to 825 of the family's 1533-position model. The record is from RNAcentral.